RNAcentral lists this ribosomal RNA (354 nucleotides) under uncultured bacterium. Its description in RNAcentral is "partial 16S ribosomal RNA". It matches the Rfam family "Bacterial small subunit ribosomal RNA", at positions 338 to 707 of the family's 1533-position model. The record is from RNAcentral.
CCUACGGGUGGCAGCAGUGGGGAAUAUUGGUCAAUGGGCGCAAGCCUGACCCAGCAACGCCGCGUGAAGGAAUAAGGCUUUCGGGUUGUAAACUUCUUUUUUCAGGGAAGAGUAGAAGACGGUACCUGACGAAUAAGCCACGGCUAACUACGGGCCAGCAGCCGCGGUAAGACGUAGGUGGCAAGCGUUGUCCGGAUUUACUGGGUGUAAAGGGCGUUUAGGCGGGUUGAGAAGUCAGAUGUGAACUCCUGCGGCUUAACCGCAGAACUGCAUUUGAAACUGGUGAUCUUGAGUACUGGAGAGGAAGAUGGAAUGCCUGGUGUAGCGGUGAAAUGCGUAGAUAUUAGGAGGAAC